Non-coding RNA from Tinamus guttatus (white-throated tinamou), 134 nucleotides. NCBI's taxonomy places the organism in Eukaryota, Metazoa, Chordata, Aves, Tinamiformes, Tinamidae. The record is from RefSeq and is a predicted model, not a curated record.
CUGCUCAAGCAGGGCCCUAUAGAGCACUUUGCCCAGGAUUGUACCCAGAUGGGUUUUGAAUAGCUCCAAGGAUGGAGACUCCACAACCUCUCUGGGCAACGUGCUCCAGUGCUAUGGCAUCCUUAUAGCAAAGA